This is a long non-coding RNA of Hippocampus comes (tiger tail seahorse), 456 nucleotides long. RefSeq lists it as uncharacterized. The transcript has 2 exons. NCBI's taxonomy places the organism in Eukaryota, Metazoa, Chordata, Actinopteri, Syngnathiformes, Syngnathidae. The record is from RefSeq and is a predicted model, not a curated record.
CAGGAUCUCUGAUUGAGUCGAUGACAGAAUUUGAUGAGACACUGAAGGACAAGUUACUAGCUGGGAAUGCCCUGGAGUUUCUGGGCCUCAAAAAAGAAACAUUUGAGUCACAAGGAGAGUGACUCCAAGCUUUGACGGAGUUCAAAUCUCGUGGUCAUAGUUGAUUCAGACUCUGUUGUUGUUGAUGGUUGCUUUUUUAGCAGUGAUUUUAAUUAUUCCAUUUCAGAAAUUUGAAAUUCAAUAAGUGAGAAAAGAAACAACUAGACAAGAAUAUGUUUGGGCGAAAUGGAAUACGUUACAGUUUCUUAAGCAGACUUUGUAAUGCAGCCAACACAAUCAAAACGUAUGAUGUGCUGGGUUGUUUUAUUGCAAAAAUUCCAACAUUAAUCAUACCGAUUUUUGUGAACUGUGCAUGAGCUACAAAAAUUUCAAUGAUCAAUAAAACACUUAACAAAA